AGAGUUUGAUCCUGGCUCAGGAUGAACGCUAGCUACAGGCUUAACACAUGCAAGUCGAGGGGCAUCAGGAAGAAAGCUUGCUUUCUUUGCUGGCGACCGGCGCACGGGUGAGUAACACGUAUCCAACCUGCCCUUUACUCGGGGAUAGCCUUUCGAAAGAAAGAUUAAUACCCGAUGGCAUAAUGAUUCCGCAUGGUUUCAUUAUUAAAGGAUUCCGGUAAAGGAUGGGGAUGCGUUCCAUUAGGUUGUUGGUGAGGUAACGGCCCACCAAGCCUUCGAUGGAUAGGGGUUCUGAGAGGAAGGUCCCCCACAUUGGAACUGAGACACGGUCCAAACUCCUACGGGAGGCAGCAGUGAGGAAUAUUGGUCAAUGGGCGCUAGCCUGAACCAGCCAAGUAGCGUGAAGGAUGAAGGCUCUAUGGGUCGUAAACUUCUUUUAUAUAAGAAUAAAGUGCAGUAUGUAUACUGUUUUGUAUGUAUUAUAUGAAUAAGGAUCGGCUAACUCCGUGCCAGCAGCCGCGGUAAUACGGAGGAUCCGAGCGUUAUCCGGAUUUAUUGGGUUUAAAGGGAGCGUAGGUGGACUGGUAAGUCAGUUGUGAAAGUUUGCGGCUCAACCGUAAAAUUGCAGUUGAUACUGUCAGUCUUGAGUACAGUAGAGGUGGGCGGAAUUCGUGGUGUAGCGGUGAAAUGCUUAGAUAUCACGAAGAACUCCGAUUGCGAAGGCAGCUCACUGGACUGCAACUGACACUGAUGCUCGAAAGUGUGGGUAUCAAACAGGAUUAGAUACCCUGGUAGUCCACACAGUAAACGAUGAAUACUCGCUGUUUGCGAUAUACAGUAAGCGGCCAAGCGAAAGCAUUAAGUAUUCCACCUGGGGAGUACGCCGGCAACGGUGAAACUCAAAGGAAUUGACGGGGGCCCGCACAAGCGGAGGAACAUGUGGUUUAAUUCGAUGAUACGCGAGGAACCUUACCCGGGCUUAAAUUGCAGUGGAAUGAUGUGGAAACAUGUCAGUGAGCAAUCACCGCUGUGAAGGUGCUGCAUGGUUGUCGUCAGCUCGUGCCGUGAGGUGUCGGCUUAAGUGCCAUAACGAGCGCAACCCUUAUCUUCAGUUACUAACAGGUCAUGCUGAGGACUCUGGAGAGACUGCCGUCGUAAGAUGUGAGGAAGGUGGGGAUGACGUCAAAUCAGCACGGCCCUUACGUCCGGGGCUACACACGUGUUACAAUGGGGGGUACAGAAGGCAGCUAGCGGGUGACCGUAUGCUAAUCCCAAAAGCCUCUCUCAGUUCGGAUCGAAGUCUGCAACCCGACUUCGUGAAGCUGGAUUCGCUAGUAAUCGCGCAUCAGCCACGGCGCGGUGAAUACGUUCCCGGGCCUUGUACACACCGCCCGUCAAGCCAUGGGAGCCGGGGGUACCUGAAGUACGUAACCGCAAGGAUCGUCCUAGGGUAAAACUGGUGACUGGGGCUAAGUCGUAACAAGGUAGCCGUACCGGAAGGUGCGGCUGGAACACCU
This 1517-nucleotide ribosomal RNA is filed under the name Bacteroides fragilis CL03T00C08. Its description in RNAcentral is "bacterial SSU rRNA". It matches the Rfam family "Bacterial small subunit ribosomal RNA". RNAcentral also lists the same sequence under 2 other names. Lineage: Bacteria; Pseudomonadati; Bacteroidota; Bacteroidia; Bacteroidales; Bacteroidaceae. The record is from RNAcentral.